AAUGGCAGGUGGACAGCCAACCUUUGCCUUUGUGCCAAGUCUCCUAAGAACAAACAUGCAGAGCCUGCUCCAAGUUGGGCAAAGGUCCAAUUCCCUGUCUUCCCCUUAGAAGGUAGUCUCUGGAGACUCUGCCUUGAAUAGUAGAAUUGUGUCUGAGGUGUUUUUGUUUGUGGGGUUUUCAUGUGCUUUCUUUUUUAUCUUCCCUAGGAAAAAAGAACUGAUCAUUGGCAAAAAGCUGAGGAUGACAACCUUAGGGGAUGAAAGGCUGUCUUUUCGCACCCUUCUGAGCUUUUCUGCCGGCUCCCAGCUGGGAGAAACCAACACGAUGAAAGGUCAUUCACGGACACCCAUGGACCAGUUGGCAUGCACUUCCUCCCUGAAGCCCCAGGCUCAGCCAAAGCUGAUUUUGGGAUAACCAGCUGCAGAGAGGAGCUGCCCACUCCAGGGCCUCUUCUCUGCUAAGAGCUGAACACUUGAUGUAACGAGCUGCCUGCAGAGAGGAGCUAGCUACCCACUCCAGGGCCUCCUCUGAGCUAUUGUGUCAAUAAAGCUCCUCUUCACCUUGCUCAUCCUCCACUUGUCUGCAUACUUCAUUCUUCUUGGAUGUGGAUAAAACUUGAUACCUGUGGAAUGGUGGGCUGAAAGACCUAUAACACAAACAGGGCUGAAACACACCCCUUGCUCGCCAUGUUGCAAGUGAAGGGGAGUGAAGAGUUGCAGCCUUUCAGUGAGCCCAGACCUGGGAGCUGCUGAGCCAAGGCUGU
This 764-nucleotide long non-coding RNA is filed under the name Callithrix jacchus (white-tufted-ear marmoset). Its description in RNAcentral is "lncRNA (ENSCJAG00000080657.1)". The record is from RNAcentral. Lineage: Eukaryota; Metazoa; Chordata; Mammalia; Primates; Cebidae.